RNAcentral lists this ribosomal RNA (857 nucleotides) under uncultured bacterium. RNAcentral's name for it is "bacterial SSU rRNA". It matches the Rfam family "Bacterial small subunit ribosomal RNA", at positions 522 to 1378 of the family's 1533-position model. The record is from RNAcentral.
AAUACGGAGGGUGCAAGCGUUAAUCGGAAUUACUGGGCGUAAAGCGUGCGUAGGCGGUUUAUUAAGUCAGAUGUGAAAGCCCCGGGCUUAACCUGGGAACUGCAUUUGAAACUGGUCAACUAGAGUAUGGUAGAGGAAAGUGGAAUUUCUGGUGUAGCGGUGAAAUGCGUAGAUAUCAGAAGGAACAUCAAUGGCGAAGGCAGCUUUCUGGACCAAUACUGACGCUGAGGUACGAAAGCGUGGGUAGCAAACAGGAUUAGAUACCCUGGUAGUCCACGCCGUAAACGAUGAUAACUAGCCGUUGGGGGGAUUUACCCCUUAGUGGCGAAGCUAACGCGUUAAGUUAUCCGCCUGGGGAGUACGGCCGCAAGGCUAAAACUCAAAGGAAUUGACGGGGACCCGCACAAGCGGUGGAGCAUGUGGUUUAAUUCGAUGCAACGCGAAGAACCUUACCUGGUCUUGACAUCCUGCGAACUUUCUAGAAAUAGAUUGGUGCCUUCGGGAACGCAGUGACAGGUGCUGCAUGGCUGUCGUCAGCUCGUGUCGUGAGAUGUUGGGUUAAGUCCCGUAACGAGCGCAACCCCUAUCCUUAUUUGCCAGCACAUUAUGGUGGGAACUAUAAGGAGACUGCCGGUGAUAAACCGGAGGAAGGCGGGGACGACGUCAAGUCAUCAUGGCCCUUACGACCAGGGCUACACACGUGCUACAAUGGGAAGGACAAAGAGCCGCGAAGCCGCGAGGUGUAGCUAAUCUCAUAAAUCUUUUCGUAGUCCGGAUUGGAGUCUGCAACUCGACUCCAUGAAGUCGGAAUCGCUAGUAAUCGUAGAUCAGAAUGCUACGGUGAAUACGUUCCCGGG